GACGAACGCUGGCGGCGUGCUUAACACAUGCAAGUCGAGCGGUAAGGCCCUUUCGGGGGUACGACGAGCGGCGAACGGGUGAGUAACACGUGGGUGACCUGCCCUCAGCUCUGGGAUAAGCCUGGGAAACCGGGUCUAAUACUGGAUAUGACUCCAUGACGCAUGUUGUGGGGUGGAAAGCCUUGUGCGGCUGAGGAUGGGCCCGCGGCCUAUCAGCUUGUUGGUGGGGUGANGGCCUACCAAGGCGACGACGGGUAGCCGGCCUGAGAGGGCGACCGGCCACACUGGGACUGAGACACGGCCCAGACUCCUACGGGAGGCAGCAGUGGGGAAUCUUGCGCAAUGGGCGAAAGCCUGACGCAGCGACGCCGCGUGAGGGAUGACGGCCUGGUGU
This 394-nucleotide ribosomal RNA is filed under the name uncultured bacterium. Its description in RNAcentral is "bacterial SSU rRNA". It matches the Rfam family "Bacterial small subunit ribosomal RNA", at positions 28 to 422 of the family's 1533-position model. The record is from RNAcentral.